Molecule: long non-coding RNA, 684 nt
Filed under: Heterocephalus glaber (naked mole-rat)
Lineage: Eukaryota; Metazoa; Chordata; Mammalia; Rodentia; Bathyergidae
Description: lncRNA (ENSHGLG00000039157.1)
Source: RNAcentral
UUUGGUGCUGGGGAUUGAACUCGGGUCCUUGUCAACAAGUAUUUAUGAAGUACCUACCAUGCCUCAGGCAUGGGCUCUUUCCAUGGCAUUUUCAAUCAAGUGAAGCACAUUGGACAGGUGUUGGGAGCAGAGAGCACGUGGAAAAUUCUUGCCUGCUUUUCAACAUCCACCCAAGAAGUAAUCAUUGGGCAAAACUGACCACCAGGCCUCAUCUCACUGCAAGGGGGCUGAAGAAUGUGAGUCACCAGAUGAACAGCAGGGCAGGAACCCAACAUGAGGUCAUCUGGGCCAUACCUCCUGCCUGACCCUGGACCUCAGGCCAAUUUGGGGAGUUUCUCAAGGCCAGUGAGGAAAGGGUUCAUGCCAGAGCUGCUGCAGAACUCAGGUCAUCACUAAGAAGUAGAGGACAGAAGACAAAGCUCCAGCUGGCAGAGAAAGAUGAAUGUGAGAGAAGGAAAAGUUUUAUCUAAGCCUGGAACCCAAGAAGAGAACCUCUGCCUGCCCAAAUCAGAUCAACACAAAUCUAUAUUUUCAAAAAACCUAAAGCAAGGAAAAUGUUAGCUUUAUAAACUCCACUUUGGAAAAGUUUUAGAACAGACCUUAUUAUAGAGUUCCACUAAGGCACCUGGUAUGGUAUUUCAUAUGGAAUUUGAUUCACAGAACUUUUAAUUUCAUCAGUAAAAU